RNAcentral lists this ribosomal RNA (432 nucleotides) under uncultured bacterium. RNAcentral describes it as "bacterial SSU rRNA". It matches the Rfam family "Bacterial small subunit ribosomal RNA", at positions 50 to 526 of the family's 1533-position model. The record is from RNAcentral.
AACACAUGCAAGUCGAACGGGCGUAGCAAUACGUCAGUGGCAGACGGGUGAGUAACGCGUGGGAACGUACCUUUUGGUUCGGAACAACACAGGGAAACUUGUGCUAAUACCGGAUAAGCCCUUACGGGGAAAGAUUUAUCGCCGAAAGAUCGGCCCGCGUCUGAUUAGCUAGUUGGUGAGGUAAUGGCUCACCAAGGCGACGAUCAGUAGCUGGUCUGAGAGGAUGAUCAGCCACAUUGGGACUGAGACACGGCCCAAACUCCUACGGGAGGCAGCAGUGGGGAAUAUUGGACAAUGGGCGCAAGCCUGAUCCAGCCAUGCCGCGUGAGUGAUGAAGGCCCUAGGGUUGUAAAGCUCUUUUGUGCGGGAAGAUAAUGACGGUACCGCAAGAAUAAGCCCCGGCUAACUUCGUGCCAGCCGCCGCGGUAAUUC